Molecule: ribosomal RNA, 230 nt
Filed under: uncultured bacterium
Lineage: Bacteria
Description: partial 16S ribosomal RNA
Rfam family: Bacterial small subunit ribosomal RNA
Source: RNAcentral
UGAGCAACCUGCCCUUGACCCUGGAAUAACAGCUGGAAACAGCUGCUAAUACCGGAUACGACCUCCGAUGGCAUCAUCUGGAGGUGGAAAGCUCCGACGGUCAAGGAUGGGCUCGCGGCCUAUCAGCUUGUUGGUGAGGUAACGGCUCACCAAGGCUUCGACGGGUAGCCGGCCUGAGAGGGCGACCGGCCACACUGGGACUGAGACACGGCCCAGACUCCGUAGGGACG